RNAcentral lists this unclassified non-coding RNA (203 nucleotides) under uncultured Entoloma. RNAcentral describes it as "sequence contains ITS2". Lineage: Eukaryota; Fungi; Basidiomycota; Agaricomycetes; Agaricales; Entolomataceae. The record is from RNAcentral.
AAUUCUCAACCUAUCUUGCUUUCACGAGUUAAGUUAGGCUUGGAUUUGGAGGUUGCUGGUUUCUCAGAAAUCAGCUCUUCUUAAAUGUAUUAGCAGAACCUUUGCUGAUUGUCUUUGGUAUGAUAAUUAUCUAUACCAUAGAAAAUUGGUGUCCUUCCUGGGAAGGUUUCGCUUCUAAUUGUCUAUUAAGACACUUUUGACAA